UUCAUAAGAUAUUAAGGAGUUUUUACAAUACCGUGUAUCCAGAUACGGUGAACGCUAAGGUUAGGUUAUCUUCUU
Molecule: long non-coding RNA, 75 nt
Organism: Mycetomoellerius zeteki
Lineage: Eukaryota; Metazoa; Arthropoda; Insecta; Hymenoptera; Formicidae
Exons: 3
Source: RefSeq, a predicted model, not a curated record